AUUGAACGCUAGCGGGAUGCUUUACACAUGCAAGUCGAAUGGCAGCGCGGACUUCGGUCUGGCGGCGAGUGGCGAACGGGUGAGUAAUGUAUCGGAACGUGCCCAGUAGCGGGGGAUAACUACGCGAAAGCGUAGCUAAUACCGCAUACGCCCUACGGGGGAAAGCAGGGGAUCGUAAGACCUUGCACUAUUGGAGCGGCCGAUAUCGGAUUAGCUAGUUGGUGAGGUAACGGCUCACCAAGGCGACGAUCCGUAGCUGGUUUGAGAGGACGACCAGCCACACUGGGACUGAGACACGGCCCAGACUCCUACGGGAGGCAGCAGUGGGGAAUUUUGGACAAUGGGGGCAACCCUGAUCCAGCCAUCCCGCGUGUGCGAUGAAGGCCUUCGGGUUGUAAAGCACUUUUGGCAGGAAAGAAACGUCGCGGGCUAAUACCCCGUGGAACUGACGGUACCUGCAGAAUAAGCACCGGCUAACUACGUG
Molecule: ribosomal RNA, 484 nt
Filed under: uncultured bacterium
Lineage: Bacteria
Description: partial 16S ribosomal RNA
Rfam family: Bacterial small subunit ribosomal RNA
Source: RNAcentral